AUUUAAAUAGUUUAAUAGUAAAAACACUAGUCUGUGGAAUUAGAGAUAUAAGUUUUAUUUUAAAUU
RNAcentral lists this transfer RNA (66 nucleotides) under Dolichovespula flora. Its description in RNAcentral is "tRNA-His". It matches the Rfam family "tRNA". Rfam says of the family: Transfer RNA (tRNA) molecules are approximately 80 nucleotides in length. Their secondary structure includes four short double-helical elements and three loops (D, anti-codon, and T loops). Further hydrogen bonds mediate the characteristic L-shaped molecular structure. tRNAs have two regions of fundamental functional importance: the anti-codon, which is responsible for specific mRNA codon recognition, and the 3' end, to which the tRNAs corresponding amino acid is attached (by aminoacyl-tRNA synthetases). tRNAs cope with the degeneracy of the genetic code in two manners: having more than one tRNA (with a specific anti-codon) for a particular amino acid; and 'wobble' base-pairing, i.e. permitting non-standard base-pairing at the 3rd anti-codon position. Lineage: Eukaryota; Metazoa; Arthropoda; Insecta; Hymenoptera; Vespidae. The record is from RNAcentral.